Molecule: long non-coding RNA, 1843 nt
Organism: Ziziphus jujuba (common jujube)
Lineage: Eukaryota; Viridiplantae; Streptophyta; Magnoliopsida; Rosales; Rhamnaceae
Exons: 2
Source: RefSeq, a predicted model, not a curated record
AUUUGAUAGAUGCAUGUAAAGUGUUUGGAAAAAUCUAAAUCAAUUGGACAAUUCAUUCAACCAAAUGUACGUAUCAACUAAGUUAAUGGAGGAUAGUGAAGCAUGAAAGACAUAAAUUAAAAGCUGUUCAAUAAAAACAAAUUAACAUUUCAAUACGAAGUCUUUUCUUGUACGUAGUGUAGAAAACUCAACAUAUAUGCAUCGAAAUAAAGACUAAAUUCAUAUUUCAUUUUCCCAAUUCCCAAGCACAUAAAACCAACCGACAAUUACAAGUUCGUAGAAAAAGAGUGUUCAAAAAUUGGAAAGAAAUCAAAAUUAUUAAUUGACUAUGAAACCAAUAAUUGUAUUCCUCAUAUGAUCAUCGACUUUUGCAUAUGGGAUAGAGUUAGCCAAACAUUUUCAUCUCUAAACAAAAGUCGAACUAGAACACUACUAAAAUAACCAAUUGAUAGCAACUCCAUGGCCAUAAAGGUCGUAGAGGUUAUAUAUAUAUAUAUAUACAGCUAUUAGCUAGCGCAUCAAUCAUGGCAAUCUGAAUCCUGGGCCAUAUUCAUCCCCUUAAUAUGGUGUAACAUAUAUGCAUGGCUGUGCUCAUAAUGUCGUAUGGAACAGUGAGUUCAAACUGCUAUAAAUAGUAAGUUUGGAGCUUGAAAUGAUACCAAUAUAAAGCAUAUAUAAAACUAAGUCACGUGAGUUGUAUUGGAAUUUGAAUCCAAUCCAAAGAACUUAGACAGCGUACGGCCAAUUUGAUUGUUGAGAAAAACUGAAAGCAAAGUGUUUUAACUCUGAAAAUUUCCUUAUAUAACAAAACAAUGAAGAGGGAUUUCAAAACAUGCACGCAUUGCAAUAAUUUAGAGAUGGAUAUUGCUUCUGGAUGAAGGUGUUAGAUUGGUGGAAAGCUUUGGAAGAUAAUUAAUUAUUAAUUAGUAAUCUUAUGCAUAUAGCUAGCUAACUAUCUACUUAUAUACAGAUAUAUGUGGGCAACUAGAUCAAAACUCUUUAUAUAUACAUAUAUAUAUAGAUAUUUUGUAACCCUUAAUAAUUAAUAAGGGGUUCUGAGAUUUUGAUUAUUCCUUCUAAUAUGUUUAUGGAAUAUAUGAUAUAUAAUAUAUAAUAUAUACAGUAAUUAAUAAACCUGGUGAGGUAGAGGACGAAUGAUAUACAAAGCAUAUAUAAAGAAGAAUAAAUAUUGAAUGUUUGACGAUUUUUUAGUAUGGUAUGCGUAAUUGAGUCCCCCAUGCAAAAAAAAAAGAAAAGGGCAAAGCAAGGGGAAUAAAAUCUACCACAGAAUCUUGGUCCAGUAUUAUUAUUAAUAAUUGAUACCAAACCCAAUAUAUAAGUUGAUUCGACUGUCUAUAGUCUGAUAUAGAGAGGUUGUUUUUUGGAAUUAAUGUUAGAGAAUGCAAGUGGCAUAUUAAUACCUUCGAUUGCGAUAGGUGUCCCGUGUCAAUUUCGUAGCAUAUAAGACUCUGCUCUACGGAAUCUCGAACUACUUUAAUUCCACAUUUAAUUAGGUCUACCAAACUAUAUGCUACAAUUCAUAUAUGGUCUAUUAAUGCUACAAGCAGCACUCUUUUUCUGCUACAUUUAUUUGCAAACUUGCCAAACCCAUCAAAGGCGUAUCAUCUUCAUAGCAAGCUGUCAAAUAAUGCUUAAAUACAUUCAGCGCAUAAAACAAAUAAGGUGGCUCAUGAAUUGGCUAGGCUUGCCCUCAAUUGUUAUGAUUAAAUAUUUUUGCUUGGAGGAGGGCCAUGGCUCCUCCUGUAUCUUCGGAUAGAUGUUUCUCUCUUUUAUGAAUCGAAACUCAAUGAUUGAUGAAGGUUUAGAUGUUUACUUUUGAAAA